AACGCAAAUGGCGCUGUAGGGUUCUCUCUACAGCAUGUCUGUUUGAGUGUCAGUUUCAUUCCCUCUCAAUGCACUCUUAUUAAGGGUGACACUGGGGCUAGAUAUGAGGUGUUGACUCUUUUCUAAAGAGACAUCCCUUUAAAUUGAAACAAAACUCAAGGGUUUAUAAACACAUGGGAGUGUGUGUAUGCCUAUGCAUACUUAUACAAUAUCGAAAACAGCUAUGCAAGAUAGAGAGGUUGAGGGUCUCGUAGCCUCUCCUCCCUUGUAUACUGUCUUUUGGUGUGGUAACUUUACCAUCGUCAAUCGAUAGAUGUUGCUAUAAAGAUGCGGUACUACCUCACCCCCCUCUACUUAUGACCUCAAAUCAGGCAAGACUACCCGCUGAACUUAA
This 394-nucleotide unclassified non-coding RNA is filed under the name uncultured fungus. RNAcentral describes it as "partial contains ITS1, 5.8S rRNA and ITS2". The record is from RNAcentral. Lineage: Eukaryota; Fungi.